CUGCGGCCCGGUUCAAGUAAUCCAGGAUAGGCUGGUUCCUGCCAGCACGGCCUAUUCUUGAUUACUUGUUUCGGGAAGCAG
MicroRNA precursor from Scleropages formosus (Asian bonytongue), 81 nucleotides. It matches the Rfam family "mir-26 microRNA precursor family". Rfam says of the family: The hairpin precursors (represented here) are predicted based on base pairing and cross-species conservation -- their extents are not known. NCBI's taxonomy places the organism in Eukaryota, Metazoa, Chordata, Actinopteri, Osteoglossiformes, Osteoglossidae. The record is from Rfam.